GGAAGAUCCAGUGAGAUAAUGAUGACGAGAGGCACCACUGAGUUCGCUUGCUCUGCGAUCUUCUGAAAAUGGACGAAAGAAAGGCUUUAUAAUUCAAAAGAUCUGUGGUCCCAGGGACACGAAUUCCUUGUGUGGGCGUCUAGGACACAGCCACAAUAGACACUGCACAGGAAGACCUGAAGCUGGCAGAGCCUUAUUCCAGAGUCCAGCAAAGCAAGUCCUACCGCCUUUUCCAGCUCUGUUGGAAUUUGUGAACUCUUGUUAAUUAGCCUCCUCAGCUGCUUGCCUACCAUGGAUUUACUCUCCCUUCUCAGAAGCAGACACAUUCCUGAAGAUUUGCGCAACCUGACCACAGAAACGUCACACUUCAAGCCCAGGUAACUAGAGGCAACCAAAUAGUGUCCAGUCAGCCAAUGGCCACUGAGCAACCAAGGGAGCCCAGAACCCUGUACGAGGCAACUGUGAUAUAUAUGGAAGAAAAGAGCAGCCCAAGCCUCCUGACUGUGUCUGGGUCACUGUCCUCAAAAAGUCCGGUGGAAAAAGAAUGAUGCAGGCCAGAAGGCCGGGGGGCUGGGGUGGUGGGAGAGAGAGAGAGAGAGAGAACGUGUGGAAGAGCCUGGUUGCCCUACAGAGCCAGGGAAGGAAAUCAGGUGGAAGGGAGCCCCCAGGUCACACACCUGAAGGUGUCACUGCCAACUCCCCAGAGGCCAAAAAGCCCGGGUCAGCCAGUCAAGAAGUGGAUUUUCUUCUAAACCUGAAGCCCCAGAAUGAAACCACCCAGUUCCCGCCUCUUUUCCACCAGCUGUGUCAGAGACUCUACCAGUGGAACCUCAUCUUCAGCCUUCAUUUCCAGUGUUGGUUUUGUUUAAUAUGGCAAGGCAGGAAAAUGUUCGUGUAGGGAUCUGCCCUAGGUUAAGUUGUGCUGAAGGACGGAGGAGAGAAUUCAAGAAGCGGCGCAAACCACCACCAACAGCUCUGCAACCGAGGUGGGGCCUUCGCCAAUUAGGAUUGGAACGGUGGGGUUCAAAUAAAAAAACUGAUGUGAAAGCCCGACCUGGUCCAUCGGAACCACAUAAACGCAUUUGUUCUUUCCCUGUGGUAGAUGUUGCCCUUUGUGGGAGGGCGGAGGAGGGAGAAGCAGCUUCCAUAUUGAGCCGGUACAUUUUGUGACUGCCCCGGAGCGUCAUCACCUCCACUCCUGCCAUCCCAGUCCAAGACCUCUCCUCCUGAAUGGCCUCCCUGCUUGCACUCUUCGCUCCUAGAGUUUAUUCUCCACACAACAGCCAGAGUGAUGUUUUUAAACACAGAAAUUGUAUCUUGUCACUUUCCUGUUGAAAACUCUUCAAACGCCCCCAUCACACUUGAGAGUGGAAUUCAAACACUUUACCACGGGUCACGGGGCCCAGCAGGACCCGGCCCUGCUGACUUCCUCCCGCGGCCCACGCGGCUGCAGCCACAGUCACCUUUGCUCCUAGCGGUUCCCUCGGCCUGGAAGACCCUCUGCUCUGCUCACCCGCCUUGGAGGUCUCGUCUGACGGCCCAAACUACAUGAGCGACUCCCACCAUAACUCUAUUCCGUUUGCCUCAUGGCAAAUGGGAACGACACUAACUCCACCAGUCCUGUGUAUCAUUUGUUGACUUGUUUACUGCCUGUCUUCCCGCAACAAUACAAGCCCUGAAGGGAGGGCAGGGUGUCUGUCUGCGCCAUCGCGGCACCCCAGCGCCAAGAGCCCGGCACGUGGCGGACCUCCAGCGUCCGCGGGGGAAAUGGCCUCUUCAAAUCCUGGCCGUGCUGCGAGGCGCGAGAGGAGCUUCCGUCGGGCUCAGGGUGGGAGCCUUCCCUCCCAGGGCACCUCGCUCCUUCGCCCCCCCGCCCUUCUCACACCGAAGGCCCCUCCAGGCAGGACGGGCGGUCUUCCAGGCCCUUCUCAGAGACUGGGGCCGCCCUCAAGUCCUCCCACACCAGGGGCUCAGAGACGCCGCCCUUUUCCUAAAACAGGCCCCGCCGGGUGCGCGCAACGCCCCCUCAGGCCCCCAAUCAGGGGCAGAGCGGGGUCCCGAGCUGUCCACCGGAAAACGGGGCGGGCCCCCCGGCCCAUCAGUACUAUCGGUUCAGCGCCCUCACUCUGUCCCCUUCCCUGGCUAGGGACCCCCCAGGGCCGUGUCGGGGAAGCAGGAGGCUCCAGGCGUCAAGGGCAACGAGGACACUCAGGCCCGAAUCCGGGACGGGCCCACGUCGCGCAGCAGCAGAACCUUUCUUCACCACGGCCUCGU
Molecule: long non-coding RNA, 2274 nt
Organism: Equus caballus (horse)
Lineage: Eukaryota; Metazoa; Chordata; Mammalia; Perissodactyla; Equidae
Source: Ensembl